CUGGAUUAAAAAAAAACACCAAAUAAACCCACACUCAAAAAUAUGUACAUAAUAAGAUAGGCUUCCGACUGUUCGGUAUACGUUUGAACUGUUGUCACAGUCAGGAAAAAAAAAAACGACAACCCCCCCACCAAAAAAAAAAAACAUACAAAAAAUUGGACACUUACACACAAGACGGCUGCAUACAUUAAAUCAUCGUUUCUCAGACUGUGAGGCGCAACCGACGUGCUGACAAAAGAGGGAGGGGGGGAACCGAUCAAUUUCUCUUUCAAAUAAAAGUUU
Non-coding RNA from Biomphalaria pfeifferi, 282 nucleotides. The record is from the annotation of a GenBank genome assembly. NCBI's taxonomy places the organism in Eukaryota, Metazoa, Mollusca, Gastropoda, Planorbidae.